CCUACGGGGGACAGCAGUGAGGAAUAUUGGUCAAUGGACGAGAGUCUGAACCAGCCAAGUAGCGUAAAGGAUGACUGCCCUAUGGGUUGUAAACUUCUUUUAUAUGGGAAUAAAAUGUUCCACGUGUGGGCUUUUGUAUGUACCAUAUGAAUAAGGAUCGGCUAACUCCGUGCCAGCAGCCGCGGUAAUACGGAGGAUCCGAGCGUUAUCCGGAUUUAUUGGGUUUAAAGGGAGCGUAGGUGGAUUGUUAAGUCAGUUGUGAAAGUUUGCGGCUCAACCGUAGAAUUGCAGUUGAAACUGGCAGUCUUGAGUACAGUAGAGGUGGGCGGAAUUCGUGGUGUAGCGGUGAAAUGCUUAGAUAUCACGAAGAACUCCGAUUGCGAAGGCAGCUCACUGGACUGCAACUGACACUGAGGCUCGAAAGUGUGGGUAUCAAACAGGAUUAGAUACCCGUGUAGUC
This 460-nucleotide ribosomal RNA is filed under the name uncultured bacterium. RNAcentral's name for it is "partial 16S ribosomal RNA". It matches the Rfam family "Bacterial small subunit ribosomal RNA", at positions 338 to 795 of the family's 1533-position model. The record is from RNAcentral.